Molecule: ribosomal RNA, 287 nt
Filed under: uncultured bacterium
Lineage: Bacteria
Description: partial 16S ribosomal RNA
Rfam family: Bacterial small subunit ribosomal RNA
Source: RNAcentral
GAUGAACGCUAGCGGCAGGCCUAAUACAUGCAAGUCGGACGGGAUCCAGGAGCUUGCUCUUGGUGAGAGUGGCGCACGGGUGCGUAACACGUAUGUAACCUACCUUCGUCAGGGGGAUAGCCUCUCGAAAGAGAGAUUAAGACCGCAUAACAUUAUUGAAUAGCAUUAUUUAAUAAUCAAAUAUUUAUAGGACGAAGAUGGGCAUGCGGAACAUUAGCAGUUGGUAAGGUAACGGCUUACCAAGGCUACGAUGUUUAGGGGAUCUGAGAGGAUCGGCCCCCCACACU